GAAUUGCGAUAAGUAAUGUGAAUUGCAGAAAUACGUGAAUCAUCGAAUCUUUGAACGCAUAUUGCACUCUCUGGUAAUCCGGAGAGUAUGCCUGUUUGAGGGUCAGUAAACAAACAUUAUCAUAAAUCAUUGAUUUAUGGAAUUGGGCAUUUAUUUCAAUACACAAGAUUUAUUGCCUUAAAUUUACGUCGUUAUGAAAUUCUCUCUAAAUGGAGCAAUUAAACAUUCUCGUUUGGUUGGGAUAUUUCAUUUACAAAGCUAUUACGAUUUUCACGCGCAAAGACACUUUUAACAAAGUGGUCUCAGCUACGAUCGUAAGUUAUUUAACAAAGACCUCAAAUCAGGCAAGAAUACCCGCUGAACUUAA
This 367-nucleotide unclassified non-coding RNA is filed under the name Entrophospora walkeri. RNAcentral describes it as "Claroideoglomus walkeri sequence contains ITS1". The stretch from base 1 to 105 matches the Rfam family "5.8S ribosomal RNA", at positions 50 to 154 of the family's 154-position model. Lineage: Eukaryota; Fungi; Glomeromycota; Glomeromycetes; Entrophosporales; Entrophosporaceae. The record is from RNAcentral.